UAAAUGGAAGCUAAUAAAGCACCUAUCUGUUAAUUAGGCCUCUGCUGCACACUAGCAGCCCAUUUAG
RNAcentral lists this transfer RNA (67 nucleotides) under Sipunculus nudus (marine worm). RNAcentral's name for it is "tRNA-Asn". Lineage: Eukaryota; Metazoa; Annelida; Sipuncula; Golfingiida; Sipunculidae. The record is from RNAcentral.